Molecule: ribosomal RNA, 253 nt
Filed under: uncultured bacterium
Lineage: Bacteria
Description: partial 16S ribosomal RNA
Rfam family: Bacterial small subunit ribosomal RNA
Source: RNAcentral
GACAGAGGUGCCGAGCGUUAGGCGGAAUCACUGGGCUUAAAGCGUGUGUAGGCGGGCGGGCAAGUACCUUGUGAAAUCCCACGGCUCAACCGUGGAACGGCUGGGUAUACUGCCUGUCUUGAGCCAGCUAGGGGCGAGCGGAACAGACGGUGGAGCGGUGAAAUGCGUAGAUAUCGUCUGGAACGCCGAAGGUGAAAACAGCUCGCUGGGGCUGUGCUGACGCUGAGACACGAAGGCCAGGGGAGCGAACGGG